Asparagus officinalis (garden asparagus) is the source of this 406-nucleotide long non-coding RNA. RefSeq lists it as uncharacterized. Lineage: Eukaryota; Viridiplantae; Streptophyta; Magnoliopsida; Asparagales; Asparagaceae. The record is from RefSeq and is a predicted model, not a curated record. The transcript has 3 exons.
GCUUUUAAAAUAAGUGGGCCAAGGCCCAUUUAGGCCCACACCAUUAUGUGCUCUCGGCAUGUUUUGACGCGUGAUCCCGCCCCCUCUCCGGCAGCCAAUCUCAGCUUCGAUUUCUGCAUCAAAAUCUAGGGUUAGGGGGGUUAGAAUUAGGGUUUUCGGUGGAGAUAUAUUUUUUUUUGAGAUGGCGUCGCCUGAGAACUCAAAUUGGGUCCUUGAUUACCCACUGAUCGACAGCAUCUCAGUGACCGGCGGCGAUUUUGGCGUCCCUGGAAACGGGUUCUUCUGGACCCCGCAAGGGAUCAACUGUACUCCCAGCGCUAGUAUGGAAACUAGUGGCAACUCGGUGGAUUCUGCUGUUCUUAAAGAACCAGGCUCUAAGAAACGUGUCAAGUCUGUACCCAGCAGC